This 23-nucleotide non-coding RNA is filed under the name Arabidopsis thaliana (thale cress). The record is from RNAcentral. Lineage: Eukaryota; Viridiplantae; Streptophyta; Magnoliopsida; Brassicales; Brassicaceae.
GAUCGAGUGAGUGUGGUCCUCCU